AGUGAAAGCCCGAUCCGCAGUUGAUCGCUUUGCUUCCAGAUGGAGGGGGAGCUGCUCUGAGCGUCUGGAGGAAGCUCUCUGCACUCCAGCUUCGGGGAGCUCGCAACGUCAUCGCAUGCCUGCACUCGGCUUGUCCGCAAGCGCCAGCGGAACUGAGAUUCCUUUCUAUUGAUCCAGCUAUUCCAGUUAUUAUGGAAAUUGUUACACAAUGCCGAGGUGAGGAAAGAUACCUGACAGCAACCCUCGGAGGGGAAUUAAUGCAUUUCAAAGCAAAGGCUUGUAUGUUCCAGAUUUUUUCACAUCAAGAUGAUGAAAAUGUAGUCUCCUUAUGUGACAACAGUCAGAGGAAGAAGUUUCAGAAACAAGAUCAAACUUCAGUGUUACUUUGUAUGGUCUGAAAAUUAUCAAGCAUCUGAAAAUGGGUCAGAGAUCUAACAAUGUAUUCAUGAGGUUCAGAGUUAAUGUUCUGGAGGCACAUUCAUUGCUGGAGCCACAGGUGCCAUGUUAAGUUUUU
Long non-coding RNA from Hemiscyllium ocellatum (epaulette shark), 514 nucleotides. RefSeq lists it as uncharacterized. The record is from RefSeq and is a predicted model, not a curated record. The transcript has 3 exons. Lineage: Eukaryota; Metazoa; Chordata; Chondrichthyes; Orectolobiformes; Hemiscylliidae.